UACGGGGGGGGUAAGCGUUGUUCGGAUUUAUUGGGCGUAAAGGGUGCGUAGGCGGUUAUGUAAGUCGGGUGUGAAAUUUCGGAGCCUAACUCCGAAACUGCAUUCGAAACUGCAUAGCUCGAGGUCUGGAGAGGUAAUUGGAAUUCUAGGUGUAGCAGUGAAAUGCGUAGAUAUCUAGAGGAACACCAGAGGCGAAAGCGAAUUACUGGACAGAACCUGACGCUGAGGCACGAAAGCUAGGGGAGCAAACGGG
Molecule: ribosomal RNA, 253 nt
Filed under: uncultured bacterium
Lineage: Bacteria
Description: partial 16S ribosomal RNA
Rfam family: Bacterial small subunit ribosomal RNA
Source: RNAcentral